This 483-nucleotide ribosomal RNA is filed under the name uncultured Hydnotrya. Its description in RNAcentral is "eukaryotic LSU rRNA". The stretch from base 106 to 259 matches the Rfam family "5.8S ribosomal RNA". The record is from RNAcentral. Lineage: Eukaryota; Fungi; Ascomycota; Pezizomycetes; Pezizales; Discinaceae.
CGUUGCUUCCCCGCGGACACCCCUCUGAGGUGUGUGCGGGGGAGGUCUACAGCAAACAAACACGCGCUCAACAGCAGUCAGAGGGAAAUUGAUAGAAAUGAUAAAAACUUUCAACAACGGAUCUCUUKGUUCCCGCAUCGAUGAAGAACGCAGCGAAAUGCGAUAAGUAAUGUGAAUUGCAGAAUUCAGUGAAUCAUCGAAUCUUUGAACGCACAUUGCGCCCCCUGGUAUUCCGGGGGGCAUGCCUGUUCGAGCCUCAAUGAAACCUCUYCCUCAGUUCAGGUCYUCCUGCACGUGAGGGGUAUUGCUGGAUGCCCACGCCUUGAAAAGUGCCGGCACCGCCCAAAUUCAAAGUCCGCAUGCCUGGGGGUAGCGACCAACGUAGUGAGAUUCAAUCUCGUUGGCGACGUGACCCCACAGAGGCAACGGGACCUUAAACGCCAAGGCGCCAACGUCAAACNCGGUGAACUCGGAUCAGGUAGG